UGAACGCUGGCGGCGUGCCUAAUACAUGCACGUCGCGCGAACAGACGAGGAGCUUGCUCCUCUGACGUUAGCGGCGGACGGGUGAGUAACACGUGGAUAACCUACCUAUAAGACUGGGAUAACUUCGGGAAACCGGAGCUAAUACCGGAUAAUAUAUUGAACCGCAUGGUUCAAUAGUGAAAGACGGUUUUGCUGUCACUUAUAGAUGGAUCCGCGCCGCAUUAGCUAGUUGGUAAGGUAACGGCUUACCAAGGCAACGAUGCGUAGCCGACCUGAGAGGGUGAUCGGCCACACUGGAACUGAGACACGGUCCAGACUCCUACGGGAGGCAGCAGUAGGGAAUCUUCCGCAAUGGGCGAAAGCCUGACGGAGCAACGCCGCGUGAGUGAUGAAGGUCUUCGGAUCGUAAAACUCUGUUAUUAGGGAAGAACAAAUGUGUAAGUAACUAUGCACGUCUUGACGGUACCUAAUCAGAAAGCCACGGCUAACUACGUG
RNAcentral lists this ribosomal RNA (495 nucleotides) under uncultured bacterium. RNAcentral's name for it is "partial 16S ribosomal RNA". It matches the Rfam family "Bacterial small subunit ribosomal RNA", at positions 30 to 507 of the family's 1533-position model. The record is from RNAcentral.